This 647-nucleotide ribosomal RNA is filed under the name uncultured Basidiomycota. RNAcentral describes it as "LSU rRNA". It matches the Rfam family "Eukaryotic large subunit ribosomal RNA", at positions 1 to 635 of the family's 3401-position model. The record is from RNAcentral. Lineage: Eukaryota; Fungi; Basidiomycota.
CCUCAAAUCAGGUAGGACUACCCGCUGAACUUAAGCAUAUCAAUAAGCGGAGGAAAAGAAACUAACAAGGAUUCCCCUAGUAACUGCGAGUGAAGCGGGAAAAGCUCAAAUUUAAAAUCUGGUGGUCUCCGGCCAUCCGAGUUGUAAUCUAGAGAAGUGUUACCCGCGUCGGACCGUGUACAAGUCUCCUGGAAUGGAGCGUCAUAGAGGGUGAGAAUCCCGUCUUUGACACGGACCCCCGAGGCUUUGUGGUGCGCUCUCAAAGAGUCGAGUUGUUUGGGAAUGCAGCUCAAAAUGGGUGGUAAAUUCCAUCUAAAGCUAAAUAUUGGCGAGAGACCGAUAGCGAACAAGUACCGUGAGGGAAAGAUGAAAAGAACUUUGGAAAGAGAGUUAAACAGUACGUGAAAUUGCUGAAAGGGAAACGCUUGAGGUCAGUCGCGUCGGCCGGAAAUCAGCCUUGCUCUUGCUUGGUGUACUUUCUGGUUGACGGGCCAGCAUCAGUUUUGACCGGUGGAUAAAGUUGUGAGGAAUGUGGCAUCUUCGGGUGUGUUAUAGCCUCGCUUCGUAUACAUCGGUUGGGACUGAGGAACUCAGCACGCCGAAAGGCCGGGGUUCGCCCACGUUCGUGCUUAGGAUGUUGGCAUAAU